CUGCAAAUGUGCAUGGCUGGUUUUCAAUAAAACUUUAUUUAUGGAUCCUGAAGUUUGAAGUCAUCAUUUUCAAGUGACAUGAAGCAUUAUUCUUAAUUUUUUCUCCCAGCAAUUUAAACAUUUUACAACUAUUCUUAACUCACGGGCUGUACAAAAACAGAUGGCUUUGGCUGCCGAGCCAUCAUUUGCUAAGUGCUUUAGGAUUGCAGUAAUAUGAACAGUUGCUUCAGAGUUUCAAGAAAGAGAAUGUGUUCUUGUAGCACUAGCACAGUAAGCCAUUGCUCAGAGUGUUGCCAUGUAAUAGAAGCAUUAUGACAGUUCUGUAAUUAGUGUGCCCCAUCUCUAAUAUUCCUGAGACAUGGUGCCUUAAUGCAGUUUCAUUUGGCUCAAUCAAGCCCUCCCAGAACUUAUUAGUAUUCUUAGGCAGUGUCGCUCUCACUACAAACGUUAUGAAGAUUGAUGAACCCGACUAUAGGCAGUCUAUUCUUUUGCCUUGAAUAAGCUCUUAAAACCUUUCUCCCUCUUUCCCACUCCAGACCUACCAUCUGUAGCAAGUUAACUCGGAUUUUCCAAUUAAAUCAAGCCUCUCGCAGUCCUUGAUGGCAUAUGGCUGGGCCUCUAAUCCAUGUGUACUGGCUAAUUAAGGAAAACAUAGUUUUUCUAAAAAUAUCAGAGAGGCUGUACUUUGGUCAAGCUGGCUGCAUACUCAGUAUUGUUGGUCAGUUUUCUUUAAAUAUUCGUUUCUUAAGGCUCUGUAGCCCGGCAGUCCGAGUUCCAAUAGUUUUGUCCAACAUGGAGUUGGAGAGUGAUGAAAAGGACAGAGGAUAGCCCUGGCCAGGUGGCUCAGUUGGUUGGAAUGUCGUCCUGUACACCAAAAGGUUGUAGGUUCAGUUCCAGUCAGGGUACAUACCAAGGUUGCAGGGUCAAUCCCCAGUCGGGGCAUAUGUGGGAUGCAGUUUCUCUCUCACAUCGAUGUUUCUCUCUCUCCCAUCCUUCCUCUCUCUCUAAAAUUAAUAAACAUCUGCAGGUGAGGAUGAAAGAGAGAGAGAAAAAGAAAGGAUAGAGUAAAUUGAAGAAUAACUGAAUUUAUUUAGGCCUAAUAUUCUUAUUUAAUUCUCGUCUGCCAUAUUUUGAAUUUAUACAUAAUUUCUCUUUGUUGUUUAAUCUAUUUUAAAAGUUAUUAUUUAGGACAAAAUUAUGAAAAUAAUUUUAAUCAACUUUGAUUAUAGGAGAUAUAUAAAAUGUUUGUAAAAUUUAGAGAAAAAUCCUCCAAAGCCAACCAAGCAGAAAUUAAUACUUUAACCUUUUCUACUUAUACAGGAUUGUAGUCAACAUAUGUCCCCACACAAAUACACAUACAUGCUCUGUAUCUAAGUUUGGUGCCUGCCCUUCUCGAGACUUUUUUUUUUUAUAGAACCCACCUCAUCAGAGUGUCUGAAGAGGUCUAUAGAAACAUUAUGUUUUAUGCUUUGUCUUCUGGAUCCAUAAGUCUCUAUUCUCUGAGUGGCAGUACAGUCAGUUGUGCUAUUAUAUGAUGUAUACAUUCCACAAAAUUGCAUAACAAAACAAAACAACACAUGGCUUAUGAGAAAAAUGAGUCAGGAUACAACAUUCAAAAACUUCAUCAGUGACAUUUAAAAAAGAGUUAGGAACCUAGUAAAAACAGGAGUAUAGUGUUACACAAGUUAAAUGAUUAAAAAAUAGAGUUUACCUUAAAAAAAACAACAAAAAAAUUUCUGAUCUUUGCUUGUAAGUUGCUGUUAGACAUUAGUUUGCUAGGGCUGCCAUAACUAAAUCCCACAGAUGGGGAGGCUUAAACAACAGGAAUUUGUUUCUCACAGUCUAGAAUAGGGCUGGAAAUUCAAAAUCAAUGUAUCACAGGGUUAGUUUCUCUUGACGCUUUUCUCAUUGGCCACCUUCUCCCUGUGUCCUCACAUAGUUUUUGCUCUGUGCAUGCUCACCCUUGUUGUCCUUCUCAUAAGGACACCAAUCAUAUUGGACUAAGUCCCCAAACUUAGAAUCUCAUUUAACCUCAGUUGCUUCCAUAAAGGCCCCAUUUUUAAAUACAAUCACAUAGGACUUCAGGGCUUCCAUGUAUGGACGUUGGGAGACACAAUUCUGUCUAUAACAGUACUGGAAGGGUUACAGCUCAUAAUUUCUAUGAAGCGGAGAAAGGAAGACGAUCCAACAUUGGAGAGCAAGUUGUGACACCAGAUGGGUGUGGCUCGUAGCACGUGUGAAUUGAGGUGGCUUGGAGAUGUUUGAGAGGGGUGUGUGUGUUUUGUGUAUUCCUGCACUGCUCGGGUUGACUCAGUGUAGUUCUCUGCAGUUACCUAGAGCUUCUGGCAGAUGAAAUCACAUACAAGCAAUUAUGAAAUUCUUGUUAUACUCACAUAACACUGGAAGACAUUCAUGGUUUCACAACAAGCUUUGCAGGCGAGAAUGGAACAGGGUAGUGGUGUGGUGGGGGAGCUCUGGAGCCUGGCAGUCCGAGUAUCAGUCUUCUCUCUGGGAAAAACCUCUGGGGUAUUUGGGACAGAUAUUUGCCCCCCCCCCCCCCCCCGUUUCAGUUUCUUUCUUUGUGAAAUGGGGAGGUAGUCAUUGUAGAGUUGCCAUCUAUGCAGUGUAGGAAAAUGUGUGGCACACACAGGGGUGAUGAAUGUUAGGUACUGUCAACACCAUCACACAGCCAGUUGUUAGUCAAGCUGGUGUAACAGGAGCAGCAGCCAAGAGCUAGUAUUGUGUCAAAACCGUGCCCUGGCAGUGUGGCCCCCCCAUAGGCACACUACCUGCCACAGGCAGCUCCGGUGUUUGUCAUUUUGGGAGGAGAGAUCCAAGGAGAACAGGUUCUCAAUUUUAGAUGAAGCUCUUUUUUUCUCUGGAACCCCAACGAGACAGAACCACGUGACCUUGGGGCGGGUGGGGUCACAGGGCUGUUAACGUGGGUUUUACUUACACACAAGAAAAAGAUGCCAAUCCCGUCUGAGUUCAGAGGGCCAGAGCCCUGGGCUUGCUGUUGUGCAGCGACGUGAUAGAAGUGGGCGAGAAAGGGUGUCCCACGUCAGCAGGGACCCGUGCCCACUGUGCCGGCAGAGGCCAGGGUUUUUGAGGCAUCACGUGAGAAAUGUCAGAACACACAGUGAAUGUCUUUGAGCCACCGUGGUUUAACAUUUGCCAGGUGAUUCUGAGGAGGACACAGCUUCCCUCUGCCAGGAGGGAAAGGGAGCAAAGCGUGGAGUCCAGCAUGGCUGGCUUCAGUAGAGCCACCUGUGCUAGAGCCAGGACAGUCUGAUCAGCUGUGGGAGGGGCCAGAGUGGGAACUUGAGUUAAAUGUAAUAUUUACUGGUUACCUCCUAUGUGUUAAAGAGGCAACUGACCUUGAACAAAUUUGAGGCUGGGAAUCAAAUGCACCUGGUUCAUGUCUUGGCUCAAGCUAUAGUACCCUUAGAGAGUAAUUUAACUUUGCUAGGUCCCAGGGGCCUCCUCUGUAAAGGACAAAUGACUCUUCCUCACAAGGUCAUUUGGGAAUUAAAUGAGGGUUACAUAGAAUGUGGGUCUCUCCAUGCCUGAGGCUGCAAAGUUGAAUAAACAACUGUUUCUGACCUUGGACUCACAAGGGCAAUUGAUUCUCCUUAUUAGUAAAGCUGGUCAAAACGUUGGAUAGGGAGCUGUAUAACCUGUGAUACUUAGGUGAUGUGACUUAUGUCUAAGGCCUUUUCCUUAUUGCCCUAGCCAUGGAGCUUUCUGGGUCUUGUAUCUUAAUGUGCCAUCCAGGGCACUAAAUUUAGAUAGUCGAGAAGGAAACACUUUGUUGCUUCCUCUUGGAAAUCUGGUCCAGGUUGCUCUCUCUUUCUGUCCUUCUCUUUCCUCUGCCUCCUGCUGUUCCAGGGCCAGGGAUUCUGCUUCCCUCUGGCUGUUUGCCCUCCUGUGAUUAGCUCAUGGCGGCUACAUCCCUUGGCCAGGGGCAGACAGGAGCCCUAAGAGAAUCCUCAGCCAUUACUAAUUUGACUGUAAUUGUUUUAAAAGUUGGUGCAAUGCACAUGAACCCUGAUGUUGAAAUAUAGUACCUACUCAUUUGAGGGGUGAAUGUUUGUGUAUAAGGUGGUGGUAGUGGAGGGUGGGCAUGUGGACAAAGUAGCAGGAGGCCCAGCCAUUUCCCCUUUGGGAAGAUUUGAGCAGAUUCCAAGUGACUAUUGGGGAAGUAGAUCUUUGGGGUUUCUCUGUAGGCCUCCCCAAAUUUAAAUUCAUUAGCAUAUGGGAAACUUAACUAAAUACAAUUAAGGCCAAUUGCUUUCAUUUUAAAUGCAAGUCAAGCUGCUGGCAAUGUCCAUUGGGCUGUCUUGACUUGAGAGAAUUUAAGAAUUGUAGAAAAAUGACUUUUAAGCCCACCUGGUGUGGCUCAGUGCCUGAGCAUCGACCUAUGAACCAGGAAAUCAAUGUUUGAUUCCACAUGCCUAGGUUGCAGGCUCGAUGGGGGGCGUG
Molecule: long non-coding RNA, 4482 nt
Organism: Pipistrellus kuhlii (Kuhl's pipistrelle)
Lineage: Eukaryota; Metazoa; Chordata; Mammalia; Chiroptera; Vespertilionidae
Exons: 3
Source: RefSeq, a predicted model, not a curated record